AGUGAACGCUGGCGGUAGGCCUAACACAUGCAAGUCGAACGGCAGCACAGUAAGAGCUUGCUCUUACGGGUGGCGAGUGGCGGACGGGUGAGAAAUACAUCGGAAUCUACUUUUUCGUGGGGGAUAACGUAGGGAAACUUACGCUAAUACCGCAUACGACCUACGGGUGAAAGCAGGGGAUCUUCGGACCUUGCGCGAUUGAAUGAGCCGAUGUCGGAUUAGCUAGUUGGCGGGGUAAAGGCCCACCAAGGCGACGAUCCGUAGCUGGUCUGAGAGGAUGAUCAGCCACACUGGAACUGAGGCACGGUCCAGACUCCUACGGGAGGCAGCAGUGGGGAAUAUUGGACAAUGGGCGCAAGCCUGAUCCAGCCAUACCGCGUGGGUGAAGAAGGCCUUCGGGUUGUAAAGCCCUUUUGUUGGGAAAGAAAAGCAGCAGGUUAAUACCCCGCUGUUCUGACGGUACCCAAAGAAUAAGCACCGGCUAACUUCGUG
This 492-nucleotide ribosomal RNA is filed under the name uncultured bacterium. RNAcentral describes it as "partial 16S ribosomal RNA". It matches the Rfam family "Bacterial small subunit ribosomal RNA", at positions 29 to 507 of the family's 1533-position model. The record is from RNAcentral.